RNAcentral lists this RNase P RNA (502 nucleotides) under Clostridia bacterium. RNAcentral's name for it is "RNase P RNA component class A". It matches the Rfam family "Bacterial RNase P class A". From Rfam's summary of the family: Ribonuclease P (RNase P) is a ubiquitous endoribonuclease, found in archaea, bacteria and eukarya as well as chloroplasts and mitochondria. Its best characterised activity is the generation of mature 5'-ends of tRNAs by cleaving the 5'-leader elements of precursor-tRNAs. Cellular RNase Ps are ribonucleoproteins. The record is from RNAcentral. Lineage: Bacteria; Bacillati; Bacillota; Clostridia.
UAACUUUGCCGAACGGCCGCGCGGUAUGUUGCCGAAAGGUAUUACCGUGAGGAAAGUCCGGGCUUCACAGAGCGCGAUAGCUGAUAACGUCAGCCAGGGGUAACCCUCGGAAAAGUGCAACAGAAAUAAACCGCCUAAACUACAGUGAAUAGUGUGGAAGACGCGCUUUUCACUUAUCUCCGUAUUUAGUACGGUGGGGAGGAUGCAGUAGAACAAGCAUAUAAAAUUUGAAUUUUUCGAGAAUUAUAUUCAUUUGUGCUUGUUCUUCCUCAUUAUUCAAUGUAGUUUAGGUAAGGAUGGAAAGGCGAGGUAAGAGCUCACCCACUCCUAUGGUAACAUAGGUUUGCUGUAAACUCUAUCGGAAGCAACACCGUAGUCGGAUUGCCUGCUCGGCAUAUAUCCGCGGGUGGCGCGAGGAGAGAUCCUCGGAGCUGAGUGGUGACAUUCAGCAAAGAUAGAUGGCCGUUUAAGACAGAACCCGGCUUAUAGACAAAGUUAUUAU